CUUGGUCAUUUAGAGGAAGUAAAAGUCGUAACAAGGUCUCCGUUGGUGAACCAGCGGAGGGAUCAUUACCGAGUUUACAACUCCCAAACCCAAUGUGAACGUUACCAAACUGUUGCCUCGGCGGGGUCACGCCCCGGGUGCGUAAAAGCCCCGGAACCAGGCGCCCGCCGGAGGAACCAACCAAACUCUUUCUGUAGUCCCCUCGCGGACGUAUUUCUUACAGCUCUGAGCAAAAAUUCAAAAUGAAUCAAAACUUUCAACAACGGAUCUCUUGGUUCUGGCAUCGAUGAAGAACGCAGCGAAAUGCGAUAAGUAAUGUGAAUUGCAGAAUUCAGUGAAUCAUCGAAUCUUUGAACGCACAUUGCGCCCGCCAGUAUUCUGGCGGGCAUGCCUGUCCGAGCGUCAUUUCAACCCUCGAACCCCUCCGGGGGAUCGGCGUUGGGGAUCGGGACCCCUCACCGGGUGCCGGCCCUGAAAUACAGUGGCGGUCACGCCGCAGCCUCUCCUGCGCAGUAGUUUGCACAACUCGCACCGGGAGCGCGGCGCGUCCACGUCCGUAAAACACCCAACUUCUGAAAUGUUGACCUCGGAUCAGGUAGGAAUACCCGCUGAACUUAAGCAUAUCAAUAAGCGGAGGA
This 638-nucleotide ribosomal RNA is filed under the name uncultured fungus. Its description in RNAcentral is "eukaryotic LSU rRNA". The stretch from base 252 to 405 matches the Rfam family "5.8S ribosomal RNA". The record is from RNAcentral. Lineage: Eukaryota; Fungi.